This 253-nucleotide ribosomal RNA is filed under the name uncultured bacterium. Its description in RNAcentral is "partial 16S ribosomal RNA". It matches the Rfam family "Bacterial small subunit ribosomal RNA", at positions 524 to 776 of the family's 1533-position model. The record is from RNAcentral.
UACAGGGGGGGCAAGCGUUGUUCGGAAUUACUGGGCGUAAAGGGUUCGUAGGUGGCCAACUAAGUCAGACGUGAAAUCCCCCGGCUUAACCUGGGAACUGCGUCUGAUACUGGGAGGCUUGAGUAUGGGAGAGGGAUGUAGAAUUCCAGGUGUAGCGGUGAAAUGCGUAGAUAUCUGGAGGAAUACCGGUGGCGAAGGCGGCAUCCUGGACCAUAACUGACGCUGAGGCGCGAAAGCUAGGGGAGCAAACGGG